GAGUUUGAUCGUGGCUCAGGACGAACGCUGGCGGCGUGGAUUAGGCAUGCAAGUCGCGCGACGGCCUUCGGGUACGGAGCGGCGAACGGGUGAGUAACACGUGAGAAACCAACCCCUUUGUUCCGGAUAAUUGACCGAAAGGUCUUGUAAUACGGGGGAGGCUGCUUUUGGGGCAUCUUAAGAGUAGCGAACGAGCAAUCGGCACAGGGACGGUCUCGCGGCCUAUCAGGUAGAUGGUGAGGUAAUGGCUCACCAUGCCGACGACGGGUAGCUGGUCUGAGAGGAUGGUCAGCCACAUUGGAACUGAGACACUGUCCAGACUCCUACGGGAGGCUGCAGUCGAGAAUCUUGGGCAAUGCACGAAAGUGUGACCCAGCGACGCCGCGUGAAGGAUGAAGGCCCUCCGGGUCGUAAACUUCUUUUACGGGAGAAGAAUCAAUGACGGUACCCCGUGAAUAAGCCACGGCUAACUACGUGCCAGCAGCCGCGGUAAU
RNAcentral lists this ribosomal RNA (494 nucleotides) under uncultured Lentisphaera sp. Its description in RNAcentral is "bacterial SSU rRNA". It matches the Rfam family "Bacterial small subunit ribosomal RNA", at positions 9 to 524 of the family's 1533-position model. Lineage: Bacteria; Pseudomonadati; Lentisphaerota; Lentisphaeria; Lentisphaerales; Lentisphaeraceae. The record is from RNAcentral.